RNAcentral lists this transfer RNA (59 nucleotides) under Amblyomma testudinarium. RNAcentral's name for it is "tRNA-Phe". Lineage: Eukaryota; Metazoa; Arthropoda; Arachnida; Ixodida; Ixodidae. The record is from RNAcentral.
UAAUCUUUAUAGUUUAAAAAAAACAUUACACUGAAAAUGUAAAAAUAUUAUUUUAAAGA